UGACCUUCGGGGCCCACGGUAUGGGCUGGUC
This 31-nucleotide small RNA is filed under the name Bombyx mori (domestic silkworm). RNAcentral's name for it is "ovarian small RNA-895". The record is from RNAcentral. Lineage: Eukaryota; Metazoa; Arthropoda; Insecta; Lepidoptera; Bombycidae.